UCCAGACUCCUACGGGAGGCAGCAGUGGGGAAUAUUGCACAAUGGGGGAAACCCUGAUGCAGCGACGCCGCGUGAGUGAAGAAGUAUUUCGGUAUGUAAAGCUCUCUCAGCAGGGAAGAAAAUGACGGUACCUGACUAAGAAGCCCCGGCUAACUACGUGCCAGCAGCCGCGGUAAUACGUAGGGGACAAGCGUUAUCCGGAUUUACUGGGUGUAAAGGGAGCGUAGACGGCAUGGCAAGUCAGAUGUGAAAGCCCGGGGCUCAACCCCGGGACUGCAUUUGAAACUGUCAGGCUGGAGUGCAGGAGAGGUAAGUGGAAUUCCUAGUGUAGCGGUGAAAUGCGUAGAUAUUAGGAGGAACACCAGUGGCGAAGGCGGCUUACUGGACUGUAACUGACGUUGAGGCUCGAAAGCGUGGGGAGCAAACAGGAUUAGAUACCCUCGUAC
This 446-nucleotide ribosomal RNA is filed under the name uncultured bacterium. RNAcentral describes it as "bacterial SSU rRNA". It matches the Rfam family "Bacterial small subunit ribosomal RNA", at positions 330 to 793 of the family's 1533-position model. The record is from RNAcentral.